GAGCGUUUGGAAUGGCUUACGGCCCUUCACACGGGUGGGGUCACAGGUUCAAUCCCUGUCGCGCCCACCA
Molecule: transfer RNA, 70 nt
Filed under: Sphingomonas sp. Leaf23
Lineage: Bacteria; Pseudomonadati; Pseudomonadota; Alphaproteobacteria; Sphingomonadales; Sphingomonadaceae
Description: tRNA-Val
Source: RNAcentral